Small nuclear RNA from Otolemur garnettii (small-eared galago), 164 nucleotides. Its record names the gene U1. It matches the Rfam family "U1 spliceosomal RNA". From Rfam's summary of the family: U1 is a small nuclear RNA (snRNA) component of the spliceosome (involved in pre-mRNA splicing). NCBI's taxonomy places the organism in Eukaryota, Metazoa, Chordata, Mammalia, Primates, Galagidae. The record is from Ensembl.
AUACUUACCUGGCAAGGGAGGUACCAUGAUCAUGAAGGUGGUUUACCCAGAGUGAGGCGUAUCCAUUGCACUCCAGAUAUGCUGACUCCUGUGAUUUCCCCAAAUGUGGGAACUUGACUGUAUAAUUUGUGGCAGUGGAGGGACUGUGUUCAUACUUUCCUCCU